GUAAUUGAGUAAGGCCCUCAGCAACUUAGCAAGAUGCUAUCUCUAAAUAAAAUACAAAAAGGGGCUGAGGCUGGGGCAGAGGCUGAGGCUCAGGGGCAGAGCAGGCCCCCACCUGGCCAGCUCCUGGAAGGCCUUGUGCGGUAUGGCGUUCCGCAGGUAGAGCCCCGGAUGCCGCAUGAGCAGCGACAGGGGCUUGAAGAGGUGCACGUGGUGCAGGACGGUCUCCAGGUCCGCGUAGAGGCGGUAGUGGAACAGCAGCUGCGAGUUGUAGAGCACUUUGUAUUUCCUGAGCUCCAACAUGGGGAUUCUGAAAGAGAGGGACACUGGCCAGGGGUCACUGGGCACACUGCAUGCUCAGGGUAGGGCCUCUAGUCCAACUCCCAGGACCAGAAAACCAAGCAAACAAAAAGAUUUUUCCAUCACUUUAGGUACAGGUGUCACCCAGUAAAGCAGUGUGGUUAUGGAAGAUGUCCCCACGGGCCACUGGGGAUGGGAUCUAGAAACUCUAUUAAUUGUUACAACUUGUGAGUCUGUAAUUACUUCACAGUUUACAGUUUAGAAGUGUGGACUUAGGUUACACCUGUCAUCCCAGUAGCUCCGGAGGCUGAGGCAGGAGGAUCGCAAGUGGGAGGCCAGCCUCAGCCACUUAGCGAGGUCCUGAGCAAUUCAGAUUAUUUAUUUAUGUUUUCAUUCAUUCACUCAUUCACUUUGCAAUUCUGAGGGUUGAACCUGGGCCUCCUGCAGGCUAGGCAGUGGCUUUCCCACUGACCUACGACCUCAGUCCUGUUUUAUUUUAUAUGACAUUUUAUUUUGUCUUUGCUUGUCGAAAACCCAUGACAGAAAGAACCCAGGGCCUCUUAACCCCU
Molecule: long non-coding RNA, 866 nt
Filed under: Marmota monax (woodchuck)
Lineage: Eukaryota; Metazoa; Chordata; Mammalia; Rodentia; Sciuridae
Source: RNAcentral